UUAAAAGAGAAACCCUCCCCAGGGAGGAAAAGAGGGAAGCCACCUGUAGCCCAUCCCUACUGAUGGUUCUUUUGAGCAGCCUGAGAAAGCUGUGCCUGCAGGAUUACAGAGCAGAGCCAGGAGGAGCUUGGAAGAGGGAGUGUUUGUGCUUUUGUAAGGAAUCGUGAAAUGAAGUAGCAUCCUGUUCAGCAGCUCUCCUUUAUGAAUUUGAGGAACAUACUGAGCACCUAAAGAAUCCAAGGCUAGCUUGUAUAGACUAAACAACAAACAAAUGGGAGCUGGAGACUGUGCCUUCCUACCCACCCAACAUGACCACCCAACAUGGCCAGUGACAGAUGUACAGUGGUUUGAGCACACGAGGGUCACAGCAAUGGGAAUCUGGACACCUCAUCACUGCUUCAGUUCACAGCUGCUCAAAGAAGGAAGGAGGCAUCCAGGAGAAGACACAAUGAAGCAUGCCUGGAGAGACAGACAAGAAAUUGCGAUAGAAGAACCAGAUAUUUCCACUCCUACUUGCUGCUUCCUAGCUAUCCUCCAACACCACAUCUUGCAAGGAGGGUGCUGCUCCGUGUGAACUGAGGCUGUGUCUACACUAACUGGCUUGUCAUUGCUGCUUACUGGAGGCAUCUGAACACACCAUUAUGUCAUCUUGAAAACCUGCCAAAGAUCCUAAACGCAGACCAGCAGUUGCAAAUUUAGCCUGGAGUAGGGCUCUUCCUUUGGUGGGACAAAAGGAGCCAGAAGAGGCUUGAGCACCAAAGCCAGUCCUCUCCUCAGGAAGCUGGAAACAUGGCUCUUUGCUCCGCACCCGGAGAGGUGACAGCAGUGAGCCACUAUCUGAGGCUACUGGGAACCACACAGGAAAGGGUGAGGAAGUCAGUCAGUCUGAAUUUAUGCUAUCAAAAAGAAGCAAUACUUCUGAGCAGUUCAAGAUAUUUAGACCAAAUGAAUUAGUCCAAAUUCUUUCAAAGAAUGUAUUACACUGGAGUAACUCUGUUCACUCAGCAAGUAUGCAUCUUCAUUACUAGUUGCAAUGAUUAUAAUUUGCCAUUGUUUUCCUGAUUAUUUCCUAAUUAUAAUAUAGUCAGAGCUAAAUUCAAAAAUGGUAUUUUCAACAUGGAGUUUGGAGUCCUGGUUAGAAAAAUAAUUAAAACUUUUCAGACUUAGCCAGAUCAGCCCAAUCUUUAAUCCAGAAUUUAAAAAUAGAUAACCCUCUGUUUCAUUUUCACUUUACCCUGGAAAUGACCAUGUAACUAAGGUAUCUUCCAAGCUGCUGACAUCCUAAACACCUACACAUGGAAAAUAGGUAGUUUAUAAAAGUCUUUUUCCCAUCUCUAAAAUUAACUACACCUGUUCUUAUUCAGGGAAGUGAGUGCCAUUAAAUCAUGAAAUUGCUUAUGAUAAAACCAAAGAAAGUGUGAGUGAAAACAUAAACACAAUGAAGACUUGGUGGUGCCAAAACUAAACUUAUAUUACACCAGCUGAUAACUAGCUGGAAGUCAGAAAUAUAAUACAUUAAAAUAAACAGUUUGAGAUUAAUCUUUAGCUAUCUGGC
Molecule: long non-coding RNA, 1555 nt
Organism: Anser brachyrhynchus (Pink-footed goose)
Lineage: Eukaryota; Metazoa; Chordata; Aves; Anseriformes; Anatidae
Source: Ensembl